Acipenser ruthenus (sterlet) is the source of this 358-nucleotide long non-coding RNA. RefSeq lists it as uncharacterized. The record is from RefSeq and is a predicted model, not a curated record. The transcript is spliced from 3 exons. NCBI's taxonomy places the organism in Eukaryota, Metazoa, Chordata, Actinopteri, Acipenseriformes, Acipenseridae.
CAGCACCUGGAUGCCACCUGUCCACUGAAGAGAUAAGAGUUUAUGAGCCGUCCCAGAUGUGCAGUGGACAGGUUACUGUUCCACAGCUCUAUAAAAGUGCUCCGAAAUGAUGCACACUUAAUACACCACAAGCUUCUGAAGGCAGAUCUGUAAUCAGAAUGAUGAAGAUAACUGUCCUACUGAUGCUGGCUGUGGCAGGUUUUACUGCCACACCAGGGUUAGCUCAGAUCCAAAUGGAGAAGGAUGCUGGACUCGAUGUAAGUGCUCUGGAUACUGCUUUAGGGGACUUGGAGGACUCUGAUUCCACAAGUGGUGAGACUUAUUUAAUGAUUUAAUAUCCAUUCCUAAUGCAGGUGCU